AACGUAGGACGCAAGCGUUAUCCGGAAUUACUGGGCGUAAAGCGCGUGUAGGCGGAUGAUUAAGUUACCGGUGAAAGCGCCGGGCUAAACUCGGCGAGGUUCGGUGAUACUGGUCGUCUGGAGGGUGUCAGAGGGAAGCGGAAUUCCGGGUGUAGUGGUGAAAUGCGUAGAGAUCCGGAGGAACACCAGAGGCGAAGGCGGCUUCCUGGGACAUACCUGACGCUGAGACGCGAAAGCAUGGGGAGCGAACGGG
This 253-nucleotide ribosomal RNA is filed under the name uncultured bacterium. RNAcentral describes it as "partial 16S ribosomal RNA". It matches the Rfam family "Bacterial small subunit ribosomal RNA", at positions 524 to 776 of the family's 1533-position model. The record is from RNAcentral.